GACGAACGCUGGCGGCGUGCUUAACACAUGCAAGUCGAACGGAAAGGCCCUGCUUUUGUGGGGUGCUCGAGUGGCGAACGGGUGAGUAACACGUGAGUAACCUGCCCUUGACUUUGGGAUAACUUCAGGAAACUGGGGCUAAUACCGGAUAGGAGCUCCUGCUGCAUGGUGGGGGUUGGAAAGUUUCGGCGGUUGGGGAUGGACUCGCGGCUUAUCAGCUUGUUGGUGGGGUAGGGGCUUACCAAGGCUUUGACGGGUAGCCGGCCUGGGAGGGUGACCGGCCACAUUGGGCCUGAGAUACGGCCCAGACUCCUACGGGAGGCAGCAGUGGGGAAUAUUGCACAAUGGGCGGAAGCCUGAUGCAGCAACGCCGCGUGCGGGAUGACGGCCUUCGGGUUGUAAACCGCUUUCGCCUGUGACGAAGCGUGAGUGACGGUAAUGGGUAAAGAAGCACCGGCUAACUACGUG
RNAcentral lists this ribosomal RNA (468 nucleotides) under uncultured bacterium. RNAcentral's name for it is "partial 16S ribosomal RNA". It matches the Rfam family "Bacterial small subunit ribosomal RNA", at positions 28 to 507 of the family's 1533-position model. The record is from RNAcentral.